UGCCAGCAGCCGCGGUAACACGUAGGGGGCAAGCGUUGUCCGGAUUUAUUGGGCGUAAAGAGCUCGUAGGCGGUUGGGUAAGUCAGAUGUGAAACCUCCAGGCUCAACCUGGAGACGCCAUCUGAUACUGCCCUGACUGGAGUUCGGUAGAGGAGUGUGGAAUUUCUGGUGUAGCGGUGAAAUGCGCAGAUAUCAGAAGGAACACCAACGGCGAAGGCAGCACUCUGGGCCGAUACUGACGCUGAGGAGCGAAAGCAUGGGGAGCAAACAGGAUUAGAUA
This 280-nucleotide ribosomal RNA is filed under the name uncultured bacterium. Its description in RNAcentral is "partial 16S ribosomal RNA". It matches the Rfam family "Bacterial small subunit ribosomal RNA", at positions 506 to 784 of the family's 1533-position model. The record is from RNAcentral.